UUCAGACCUGGUAUGCUGGAACUCCCACC
This 29-nucleotide non-coding RNA is filed under the name Rattus norvegicus (Norway rat). Lineage: Eukaryota; Metazoa; Chordata; Mammalia; Rodentia; Muridae. The record is from RNAcentral.